Long non-coding RNA from Caretta caretta (loggerhead turtle), 628 nucleotides. RefSeq lists it as uncharacterized. The record is from RefSeq and is a predicted model, not a curated record. NCBI's taxonomy places the organism in Eukaryota, Metazoa, Chordata, Testudines, Cheloniidae.
GCGGCCAUCUUGGCCCCACAGGGCGCGCCGGGAUCGUUGCCAUGGGAACCGGGCGCCCCCGGAGCGGAGCCUCUCCCGCGCCGGGCACGUGUCCCAGCGCGCUUCCCCCCCCUUCAGGGGAAGAGGAAAGAGACCCUAGGCGAGAAGCCGGGGCGCUGCAGUCACAUGACUCCAGGAGCUGGGGCUUGGGAAGCUCGAGGUAGCGCCCCGCGCCCCGAUCGCCCCAGGCCGGGCUCGCUGCGGAGUGCAGGCGGGCUAUCUGCAGACAUCCUGUUAUAGCUCUGAGGUGGGAUCUUCCCUAUUCAUCGGAAAGUGUGGUUAACUCUUAAGCCUCAUGAUGCCACUUUAAGGACCAGAUUUUCAAAUGAAGAGACCAGCCCUCUGGGAAACAAGGUGAACUAGGAUCAUCCUACUGGCGACUCUCCAGGAACAGCAUCAUGCCACACCAGCAGGAACCUGACAGAAGUAAAUCUUCGAGCUGCAAGGCAGGAACUGAUCACCACAUGGGGUCAAAAGGACCAAUCCUCCCCCAUCUCCUCACAGGGUGGAGAGAAGACAUCUGAUGGAGCCAUCACUGCUGGCCAGCCAUGUUAUACCUCCUGAAGCUUCCCAAUUCAGCCUUCUUCUG